This 497-nucleotide ribosomal RNA is filed under the name uncultured bacterium. RNAcentral's name for it is "partial 16S ribosomal RNA". It matches the Rfam family "Bacterial small subunit ribosomal RNA", at positions 28 to 507 of the family's 1533-position model. The record is from RNAcentral.
GAUGAACGCUGGCGGCGUGCCUAAUACAUGCCAGUCGAGCGAACAGACGAGGAGCUUGCUCCUCUGACGUUAGCGGCGGACGGGUGAGUAACACGUGGAUAACCUACCUAUAAGACUGGGAUAACUUCGGGAAACCGGAGCUAAUACCGGAUAAUAUAUUGAACCGCAUGGUUCAAUAGUGAAAGACGGUUUUGCUGUCACUUAUAGAUGGAUCCGCGCCGCAUUAGCUAGUUGGUAAGGUAACGGCUUACCAAGGCAACGAUGCGUAGCCAACCUGAGGGGGUGAUCGGCCACACUGGAACUGAGACACGGUCCAGACUCCUACGGGAGGCAGCAGUAGGGAAUAUUCCGCAAUGGGCGAAAGCCUGACGGAGCAACGCCGCGUGAGUGAUGAAGGUCUUCGGAUCGUAAAACUCUGUUAUUAGGGAAGAACAAAUGUGUAAGUAACUAUGCACGUCUUGACGGUACCUAAUCAGAAAGCAACGGCUAACUACGUG